This 468-nucleotide ribosomal RNA is filed under the name uncultured bacterium. RNAcentral's name for it is "partial 16S ribosomal RNA". It matches the Rfam family "Bacterial small subunit ribosomal RNA", at positions 28 to 507 of the family's 1533-position model. The record is from RNAcentral.
GACGAACGCUGGCGGCGUGCUUAACACAUGCAAGUCGAACGGAAAGGCCCUGCUUUUGUGGGGUGCUCGAGUGGCGAACGGGUGAGUAACACGUGAGUAACCUGCCCUUGACUUUGGGAUAACUUCAGGAAACUGGGGCUAAUACCGGAUAGGAGCUCCUGCUGCAUGGUGGGGGUUGGAAAGUUUCGGCGGUUGGGGAUGGACUCGCGGCUUAUCAGCUUGUUGGUGGGGUAGUGGCCUACCAAGGCUUUGACGGGUAGCCGGCCUGAGAGGGUGACCGGCCACAUUGGGCCUGAGAUACGGCCCAGACUCCUACGGGAGGCAGCAGUGGGGAAUAUUGCACAAUGGGCGGAAGCCUGAUGCAGCAACGCCGCGUGCGGGGUGACGGCCUUCGGGUUGUAAACCGCUUUCGCCUGUGACGAAGCGUGAGUGACGGUAAUGGGUAAAGAAGCACCGGCUAACUACGUG